AUCGGGAAUUUUGCACAAUGGACGAAAGUCUGAUGCAGCGACGCCGCAUGAAGGAUGAAGGCCUUCGGGUUGUAAACUUCUGUAAAUAGCACCGGCUAACUACGUGCCAGCAGCAGCGGUCAUACGUAGGGUGCAAGCAUUAUCCGGAUUUACUGGGCGUAAAGAGUUCUGUAGGCGGUAGUAUAAGUCGAAGGUUAAAUCUCCGAGCUCAACUCGGAAACUGCUUUCGAUACUGUAUUACUAGAGAUAUCUAGGGGGUAGCAGAACCUAUGGUGAAGCAGUGAAAUGCGUUGAUAUCAUAGGGAAUACCAAGGGGGAAGCCAGCUACCUGGGGAUAUUCUGACGCUGAGAGACGAAAGCGUGGGGAGCAAAACGGAUUAGAUACCCCUGUAGUCC
RNAcentral lists this ribosomal RNA (396 nucleotides) under uncultured bacterium. RNAcentral's name for it is "bacterial SSU rRNA". It matches the Rfam family "Bacterial small subunit ribosomal RNA", at positions 354 to 796 of the family's 1533-position model. The record is from RNAcentral.